GCUGGGCAUAGUGGCGCAUGCCUGUAAUCCCAGCUACUUGGGAGGCUGAGGCAGGAGAAUCACUUGAGCCCAGGAGGUGGAGGCUGCAGUGAGCUGAGAUUGCAACACUGCACUCCAGCCUGGGUGACAGAGUGAGACUUUGUCUCAA
Papio anubis (olive baboon) is the source of this 148-nucleotide unclassified non-coding RNA. It matches the Rfam family "Metazoan signal recognition particle RNA". From Rfam's summary of the family: The signal recognition particle (SRP) is a universally conserved ribonucleoprotein. It is involved in the co-translational targeting of proteins to membranes. The eukaryotic SRP consists of a 300-nucleotide 7S RNA and six proteins: SRPs 72, 68, 54, 19, 14, and 9. Lineage: Eukaryota; Metazoa; Chordata; Mammalia; Primates; Cercopithecidae. The record is from Ensembl.